AGAGUAAGUCAGCUUAAUCCAGAUAGAUGCUUUGCUUGUGAGCAAAAAUACUAAGACUGGAACGGAGGAACCAAAUAUUGGGGCGUAUUUCAAAAAUCGAUUGUGGCAAUUACAACCAUGAUCUGAGUGAAAAGGGUAUCUCUCAACCCUAGCCCGUCAGCUAACUUCGUAAGCGUUGAGAGGAAAC
RNAcentral lists this small RNA (187 nucleotides) under Calothrix sp. RNAcentral describes it as "c-di-AMP sequence". The stretch from base 39 to 187 matches the Rfam family "c-di-AMP riboswitch aptamer (ydaO/yuaA leader)". Rfam says of the family: This family represents a conserved RNA structure found upstream of the ydaO and yuaA genes in Bacillus subtilis and related genes in other bacteria. The ydaO/yuaA element is thought to act as a genetic "off" switch for the ydaO and yuaA genes in its native state. It is believed that the element may be triggered during osmotic shock leading to activation of ydaO, a predicted amino acid transporter gene, and members of the yuaA-yubG operon which code for KtrA and KtrB K+ transporters. The record is from RNAcentral. Lineage: Bacteria; Bacillati; Cyanobacteriota; Cyanophyceae; Nostocales; Calotrichaceae.